GACGAACGCUGGCGGCGUGCUUAACACAUGCAAGUCGAGCGGUAAGGCCCUUUCGGGGGUACGACGAGCGGCGAACGGGUGAGUAACACGUGGGUGACCUGCCCUCAGCUCUGGGAUAAGCCUGGGAAACCGGGUCUAAUACCGGAUAUGACUCCAUGACGCAUGUUGUGGGGUGGAAAGCCUUGUGCGGCUGAGGAUGGGCCCGCGGCCUAUCAGCUUGUUGGUGGGGUGAGGCCUACCAAGGCGACGACGGGUAGCCGGCCUGAGAGGGCGACCGGCCACACUGGGACUGAGACACGGCCCAGACUCCUACGGGAGGCAGCAGUGGGGAAUCUUGCGCAAUGGGCGAAAGCCUGACGCAGCGACGCCGCGUGAGGGAU
Molecule: ribosomal RNA, 380 nt
Filed under: uncultured bacterium
Lineage: Bacteria
Description: bacterial SSU rRNA
Rfam family: Bacterial small subunit ribosomal RNA
Source: RNAcentral